RNAcentral lists this ribosomal RNA (402 nucleotides) under bacterium. RNAcentral describes it as "partial 16S ribosomal RNA". It matches the Rfam family "Bacterial small subunit ribosomal RNA", at positions 355 to 776 of the family's 1533-position model. The record is from RNAcentral.
UGGGGAAUUUUGCACAAUGGGGGAAACCCUGAUGCAGCGACGCCGCGUGUUUUAGAAGGCCUUCGGGUUGUAAAAAUCUUUUCUAUGGGAAGAAAAUGACAGUACCAUAGGAAUAAGGACCGGCUAAUUACGUGCCAGCAGCCGCGGUAAUACGUAAGGUCCGAGCGUUGUCCGGAAUCAUUGGGCGUAAAGGGUACGUAGGCGGGUAAGCAAGUUAGAAGUGAAAUCCUAUAGCUCAACUAUAGUAAGCUUUUAAAACUGCUCAUCUUGAGGUAUGGAAGGGAAAGUGGAAUUCCUAGUGUAGCGGUGAAAUGCGCAGAUAUUAGGAGGAAUACCGGUGGCGAAGGCGACUUUCUGGCCAUAACCUGACGCUGAGGUACGAAAGCGUGGGUAGCAAACAGG